RNAcentral lists this transfer RNA (74 nucleotides) under Botrimarina hoheduenensis. RNAcentral's name for it is "Planctomycetes bacterium Pla111 tRNA-Ala". It matches the Rfam family "tRNA". Rfam says of the family: Transfer RNA (tRNA) molecules are approximately 80 nucleotides in length. Their secondary structure includes four short double-helical elements and three loops (D, anti-codon, and T loops). RNAcentral also lists the same sequence under 1 other name. Lineage: Bacteria; Pseudomonadati; Planctomycetota; Planctomycetia; Pirellulales; Lacipirellulaceae. The record is from RNAcentral.
GGGGCUGUAGCUCAGUUGGGAGAGCGCCUGCUUUGCAAGCAGGAUGUCGCAGGUUCGAUUCCUGUCAGCUCCAC